Molecule: ribosomal RNA, 748 nt
Filed under: uncultured cyanobacterium
Lineage: Bacteria; Bacillati; Cyanobacteriota
Description: bacterial SSU rRNA
Rfam family: Bacterial small subunit ribosomal RNA
Source: RNAcentral
AGAGUUUGAUCCUGGCUCAGGAUGAACGCUGGCGGUAUGCCUAACACAUGCAAGUCGAACGAAUCCUUUCGGGGAUGAGUGGCGGACGGGUGAGUAACGCGUGAGAAUCUGCCUUUUGGUCGGGGACAACCACUGGAAACGGUGGCUAAUACCGGAUGUGCCUUUAGGGGUGAAAGAUUAAUUGCCAGAAGAGGAGCUCGCGUCUGAUUAGCUAGUUGGUGAGGUAAAGGCUCACCAAGGCAGCGAUCAGUAGCUGGUCUGAGAGGAUGACCAGCCACACUGGGACUGAGACACGGCCCAGACUCCUACGGGAGGCAGCAGUGGGGAAUUUUCCGCAAUGGGCGAAAGCCUGACGGAGCAAUACCGCGUGAGGGAGGAAGGCUCUUGGGUUGUAAACCUCUUUUAUCAGGGAAGAACCAAAUGACGGUACCUGAAGAAUCAGCAUCGGCUAACUCCGUGCCAGCAGCCGCGGUAAUACGGAGGAUGCAAGCGUUAUCCGGAAUUAUUGGGCGUAAAGCGUCCGCAGGUGGCUCAUCAAGUCUGCUGUCAAAGGCAGGGGCUUAACCCCUGAAAGGCAGUGGAAACUGGAGAGCUAGAGUGCAGUAGGGGUAGAGGGAAUUCCCGGUGUAGCGGUGAAAUGCGUAGAGAUCGGGAAGAACAUCGGUGGCGAAAGCGCUCUGCUGGACUGCAACUGACACUAAAGGACGAAAGCUAGGGGAGCGAAUGGGAUUAGAUACCCCGGUAGUCC